RNAcentral lists this ribosomal RNA (1540 nucleotides) under Staphylococcus aureus. Its description in RNAcentral is "16S ribosomal RNA". It matches the Rfam family "Bacterial small subunit ribosomal RNA". The record is from RNAcentral. Lineage: Bacteria; Bacillati; Bacillota; Bacilli; Caryophanales; Staphylococcaceae.
AGAGUUUGAUCCUGGCUCAGGAUGAACGCUGGCGGCGUGCCUAAUACAUGCAAGUCGAGCGAACGGACGAGAAGCUUGCUUCUCUGAUGUUAGCGGCGGACGGGUGAGUAACACGUGGAUAACCUACCUAUAAGACUGGGAUAACUUCGGGAAACCGGAGCUAAUACCGGAUAAUAUUUUGAACCGCAUGGUUCAAAAGUGAAAGACGGUCUUGCUGUCACUUAUAGAUGGAUCCGCGCUGCAUUAGCUAGUUGGUAAGGUAACGGCUUACCAAGGCAACGAUGCAUAGCCGACCUGAGAGGGUGAUCGGCCACACUGGAACUGAGACACGGUCCAGACUCCUACGGGAGGCAGCAGUAGGGAAUCUUCCGCAAUGGGCGAAAGCCUGACGGAGCAACGCCGCGUGAGUGAUGAAGGUCUUCGGAUCGUAAAACUCUGUUAUUAGGGAAGAACAUAUGUGUAAGUAACUGUGCACAUCUUGACGGUACCUAAUCAGAAAGCCACGGCUAACUACGUGCCAGCAGCCGCGGUAAUACGUAGGUGGCAAGCGUUAUCCGGAAUUAUUGGGCGUAAAGCGCGCGUAGGCGGUUUUUUAAGUCUGAUGUGAAAGCCCACGGCUCAACCGUGGAGGGUCAUUGGAAACUGGAAAACUUGAGUGCAGAAGAGGAAAGUGGAAUUCCAUGUGUAGCGGUGAAAUGCGCAGAGAUAUGGAGGAACACCAGUGGCGAAGGCGACUUUCUGGUCUGUAACUGACGCUGAUGUGCGAAAGCGUGGGGAUCAAACAGGAUUAGAUACCCUGGUAGUCCACGCCGUAAACGAUGAGUGCUAAGUGUUAGGGGGUUUCCGCCCCUUAGUGCUGCAGCUAACGCAUUAAGCACUCCGCCUGGGGAGUACGACCGCAAGGUUGAAACUCAAAGGAAUUGACGGGGACCCGCACAAGCGGUGGAGCAUGUGGUUUAAUUCGAAGCAACGCGAAGAACCUUACCAAAUCUUGACAUCCUUUGACAACUCUAGAGAUAGAGCCUUCCCCUUCGGGGGACAAAGUGACAGGUGGUGCAUGGUUGUCGUCAGCUCGUGUCGUGAGAUGUUGGGUUAAGUCCCGCAACGAGCGCAACCCUUAAGCUUAGUUGCCAUCAUUAAGUUGGGCACUCUAAGUUGACUGCCGGUGACAAACCGGAGGAAGGUGGGGAUGACGUCAAAUCAUCAUGCCCCUUAUGAUUUGGGCUACACACGUGCUACAAUGGACAAUACAAAGGGNAGCGAAACCGCGAGGUCAAGCAAAUCCCAUAAAGUUGUUCUCAGUUCGGAUUGUAGUCUGCAACUCGACUACAUGAAGCUGGAAUCGCUAGUAAUCGUAGAUCAGCAUGCUACGGUGAAUACGUUCCCGGGUCUUGUACACACCGCCCGUCACACCACGAGAGUUUGUAACACCCGAAGCCGGUGGAGUAACCUUUUAGGAGCUAGCCGUCGAAGGUGGGACAAAUGAUUGGGGUGAAGUCGUAACAAGGUAGCCGUAUCGGAAGGUGCGGCUGGAUCACCU